GGCCGACAUGCAUUCAGAUCGUUAACUACACCACUAUACGACGAGGCUGUCGGUGCUCUCUUGGUUUAUGACAUCACCAGGAGGGAGACUUUUAACCAUCUCACCAACUGGCUACAAGAUGCAAGGAAAUAUGCACACUCUGGCAUGACAAUAAUGCUGAUAGGGAACAAAUGUGAUCUAUCGCACAGCCAUGCCGUGAGCUAUGAGGAAGGCGAGCGGUUCGCAAAGGACCAUGGUCUGCUCUUCAUGGAGGCAUCUGCAAAAACUGCACAGAAUGUUGUCGAGGGUUUCCUUCAGACUGCUGUAGCAAUAUACAAGAAAAUUCAGGAUCCUUCAUCCGGUCUAUAUAAUUAGGUUAGCUGAUUCAAAGUUGGCUACACAGUCCCUAGCAUCAUUAGAGGUGCGGGUUCGUCGUCUUCCAAUGGUUAA
This 429-nucleotide ribosomal RNA is filed under the name Triticum aestivum (bread wheat). Its description in RNAcentral is "partial small subunit ribosomal RNA". Lineage: Eukaryota; Viridiplantae; Streptophyta; Magnoliopsida; Poales; Poaceae. The record is from RNAcentral.